This 196-nucleotide ribosomal RNA is filed under the name uncultured bacterium. RNAcentral describes it as "partial 16S ribosomal RNA". It matches the Rfam family "Bacterial small subunit ribosomal RNA", at positions 1306 to 1500 of the family's 1533-position model. The record is from RNAcentral.
UGAAAUUCGACUUCAUGAAGCUGGAAUUGCUAGUAAUGGCAGGUCAGCAUAUUGCCGUGAAUACGUUCCCGGGCCUUGUACACACCGCCCGUCACACCAUGAGAGUUGGGAAUACCCGAAGCCUGUGAGCUAACUUUUUAAGAGGCAGCAGUCGAAGGUAGAAUCAAUGAUUGGGGUGAAGUCGUAACAAGGUAGC